Molecule: long non-coding RNA, 428 nt
Filed under: Homo sapiens (human)
Lineage: Eukaryota; Metazoa; Chordata; Mammalia; Primates; Hominidae
Description: HSALNT0310658
Source: RNAcentral
GUGCCAUGACACCCAGGAUGCAGCUGUAGGAACACCACUGGGUCCCUGGAUGUCAUGUAAGCCCUUAAGUAAAAGUGCCAUCAAAUGAUUUCUCAGAAAUUAUAAAGAAACAAAAGGACCAUAAACAAGAUAAGGUGGCAUGAGGAAACAUUACAAGUACCUUUCAGAGCUGACUGGCAAAGAAACUCCUGAGGUGACGGUUCUACCCCAAUAUUACUUCUUCGAAGAGCAACCUAACUGACCUUGUAUUGAAGACAGCGUAACCCCCAAGAGGAAAGGAGCUUGGAGCCCUGAAUCAGAGUAGAAGACAGGCUGAAUGAAUACCAGCCUUGGACUGUUGUGUGAAUGAAAAACAAGUUUUGAGAUUUGUGUGGUUUAUUUAUUAUAGUUACUGUUAUUAUUAAAGUUUUUCACUGCUUUACUCUCAG